Long non-coding RNA from Pieris napi, 4682 nucleotides. RefSeq lists it as uncharacterized. The record is from RefSeq and is a predicted model, not a curated record. The transcript is spliced from 5 exons. Lineage: Eukaryota; Metazoa; Arthropoda; Insecta; Lepidoptera; Pieridae.
AUCGAUGCAUUCGAGUUACCAAUUCAGUACAUGACAGUGACAUUAGUUGAGAUAGUCAGCACAUUAGAUGACGUUUAACAAUAAUUCAUAUAACCUUCUGACAGCUUACUUAACUCUUCAAUUUGUUUAAUUUUAAAAAAUACAAAUUAAGUUGCAGAGAGGACCGGAAGAGGCAACCACUGCAUGUGAGGACAGACCCACGAUAGUUAGAAGGUACCCGCAAACGGAACUCUGCAGCAACUGUAACUGGCUGUUAAUUAUGGCAGACUUCACGGACAUAACGGGCGAUGAACAAGCCACAAAACUGUUCAAAUCAACCUUUCAGGCCCCCUUGCCUAUGUCGGGAUCCGCAAGCUCAAAACUUAGGGACCUUCCAGCGGGCAUGGACAACUUCUCGGCCCAUGGCAGCAAGCGCGAGGUAUCCAUGACCACAUGGAACACACAGUGUCACCAUUAUCAAACGCAUAUAGGGUACACAGUGACAGCAGUCGCCAAUGAAGAAGCAGUACGUGUACCCACUCGCCCUACCAUCCUGUUCGACGGAGCUCUCAAUCAAGUCGUGGCUAGGAUGACUUCGUUGAACAAAUUAAGUUGAAGCAUAAUACUUUAAUUAUAUUAAUAAUUGACUUUAAAAUAAGAAUUAAGUAUUGAAACACUUUAACGAAUGUGACAUUUCCGUUGCGAUAAUCAAUAUAAAUUUUAUUUUAUAAAGAUUGUUUUAAAAUUAUGUUUGUUUCACAAGAUUGUUGACUUCAUUUUAAACAGAAUUAUAUAAUAUACAAGACAAAGAAGUAUAGUCCUAAACUUGGAGCUAUUUAUACUCUGUAGUUCGCGUCCUGUCGUUUAGCCUGGCCGAAAUUCGAAAAGCCAAUUGUUUAAAAAAUAUUCAUAAUAGCGAACUCUAUUUCGAAUUUCGAUUUUCUAAAAAGAAAAGCAAUUAUUUUUAAUGGUGGUUUUAUAAUUUCUUAUACUUUAAAUUUUAUUAUAUUAAAUUACGUUGUAGCUGCGGCCAUAAUAUGCUUUCUUAUGUCGGAAUUAGAUAAAACGCAAGAUUUGGUUGAGGAGGGUAAUCAGUGUAGAAAGCGCUCUCAUACCAAUAGCGAACAUUGCACGAAAAGAGCAAAAUUAGACGACAUGAGUUCUAGUGAAUAGAAAGCGAGUUUUUCAAUUUUAAAUCCCAAUUCAAAUGGAAGUAGUAUAGCAUUAAAACUGGCCUCGUCAUUGAACAAGCCUGGGACGACUGCUAAGAAGCUGGUUAUGAAGAACUUUAAAAGUGUGUUUAUACUUGUGACCUGCAGACGUAUUUUCAUAACCUUUAUGACAUUUGGUUAAAUAAUAUGCAUAUGUUGCAGGUAAACCGAAUCUUCCAGAGAAUUAUCAAGAGACGACAUGGAGCAAAUUACGAGAGGCUGUAAUCGCCAUACAGACCUCAAAAUCCAUAGAUUAUUCGCUGGAAGAGCUAUACCAGGCAGUAGAAAAUAUGUGUAGUCAUAAGGUAAUCUAUUUGAGAUUUUCUGAAUAAAGUUUUGCUAUUCACCUCUUUACAUUGAUGACAUGGGACUGUUGAAAUAUUUUUAAUACUGUAAAUUAUAUUCUUCGAUCAAUAACAAUAAUUCUGGACAAUUGCUUACAAAAAUUUAAGUCACAAAUAAGGGGGUUAUUUAAAUCCAAAAUCCUUUUCUUUAUUAUCCUUAUUAUAUACCUGAACAAUCCGAUGAUGACAGAUGUUUAUUUACUUCUAUAUUCUUAACUAUUAAACCAAUAAAACGAUUAAAAUCCAAAUGAUUGUCUAGGUUUACCAUAGUAAAUUUUAAUGUCAAAAGCGACGUAUGAAUGUUACUCAACCCAACUAAAUUUUUCACUUUUAGAUGGCCUCACAGUUAUAAAGGACGUAUGAUAGAAAUAGAACCAAAGCGUGAUAAGACAAUGGUUGGGGAACUGCUGGAAUUCAAAGAACAGCUGCACAACAUCGUGGCUGGCUGCUUCCAAAGGCACGAUCUCUUCUUCUACUCCAUGAGAAAGGCCUUUGAGUUCUUUAUCAACUAGCGACAGAAUUAGCCUGCUGAACUUAUUGGUGAGAGAGCUCAUUGAAUGUUUAAAAAUCUUAACUUUAAAAAAAUUGUAUUUAUCCACUGUAACUAAAUACUUGCUCUAUUAAGGCCAUUCCUUCCAGAAUCUCUGCUAUUCAUAGACUGGGUGAGGUAGCGUUCAAGUAGUACGUCACGCAAUUUUCGGAGAUUAUCGACACCCCCGUAACGCGUCGUAACGUUUUUCGGUACCCAAUAGUAAACGUUUUGUGACCACCCAGUGACUCUUUAUACCUAAAAGUUACCAUUAUGUGGUGUAAGGAACUGUAAAGUGGAAAAUAAUAUUAACAAUAACGCGUAAUUCAAUUCCCGCCUCGCAUCGUUACGUUUUACAAAAGAAAAAAAAAUUCGUUACGUAAUACUCGAACGCUCCCUGAGCCACCAGACCGCUUUAGAGAAACAUAUUUUGUUAUAACGCAAAAAUAUAUUUUGGAAAAGAAAAUUUUAAUUAUAGUGACAGCUCCACUGCAUGUUCAUAGUAGUGUACUAUAGUGUAAUAUAGUUCAGCAGGCUUAUUCUGACGCUGGUUGAUAAAGAACUCAAAGGCCUACCUCAUGGAGUAGAGGAAGCGAUCGUUCUUUUGGAAGCAGGCAGUUACGAUGUUAUCCAGCUGCUCUUUGAAAGCCAGCAGUUCGCCAACCAUUGUCUUGUGACGCUCUGGUUCGAUUACUAUCAUACGUCCUUUAUAACUGUGAGGCCACCUAGACAAUCUUAAUUUACCAAUAACUUAAUAGUUAAGAAUAUAGAAGUAAAUAAAUAUCUUUCUUCAUCGGAUCGUUCAGGUAUAUAAUAAGGAUAAUAAAGAAAAGGAUUUUGGAUUUAAAUAACCCCCUUAUUUGUGACUUAAAUUUUUGGAAGCAAUUGUCCAGAAUUAUUGUUAUUGAUCGAAAAAUAUAAUUUACAGUAUUAAAAAUAUUUCAACAGUCCCAUGGCAUCAAUGUAAAGAGGUGAAUAGCAAAACUUUAUUCAGAAAAUCUCAAAUAGAUUACCUUAUGACUACACAUAUUUUCUACUGCCUGGUAUAGCUCUUCCAGCGAAUAAUCUAUUGAUUUUGAGGUCUGUAUGGCGAUUACAGCCUCUCGUAAUUUUCUCCACGUCGUCUCUUGGUAAUUCUCUGGAAGAUUCGGUUUACCUGCAACAUAUGCAUAUUAUGAUAAAGAACUCAAAGGCCUCCCUCAUGAAGUAGAGGAAUGGAAUGGAGAAGGAUCGUUCCUUUGGAAGCAGGCAGUUACGGUGUUAUCCAGCUGCUGUCUUGUCACGCUCUGGUUCGAUUACUAUCGUUGUGAACACUGGUUUGAUGCGCCAUUCCGUUGCUAUCCUGCGUACGCGAGUUUUGUAAUCCCGAGUUUUGAUAUUUUUUAACGACUUUUACUUGUUUUUGGACUCCGAUAUCUGCACAAUUAUCGACCUUCGCUUGUUUUUUAGAUUCUGAUAUCUGCACAAUUUAUCGACCUUGGCUUGUUUGUUGGAUUUAAGUCUGCAAUACGUGUUUUGACUUGACUUGUUAAAAUGGCGUCGUCUGCCGAAUCUGCCGCCGCUCCUAUUGAAAACGAAGCUGGGCCAUCCACUUCUCACUCUGUGGAGUCAGGCUCCAAUUUUGAAAUAGAUGACCUCUAUGUGUGCCGGCAUUUAUAUGUAGGCGAAAUAUUGCCUAUGUUCAAUUUACCUCGGCUUGUCAGGCAACUGGGAACCCGGGAGCAGUGUUUGGCUUUUGCUGAAGAGCAUGGGCUCAUUUUAGCUAACAAAAUGUGCCGUGUACACCGCCAGCUCAUGCGCCUGGAUUUGACGGCUAACAACACAGGUGGGGCCUUUGUAUGUAGCAGAGGGAGUUGUAGAGCCAAGUCCCAUACAUCAAGGGCCACAGGAACAUGGUUCGAGAAGUCAGGGUUUGCCAUUGCCACGGAUAUUUUAUUUGAUGUAGGUACUGUUUUGCACAUCGCAAGUCCCACGAAGAGGCCAUAUUCGAUGAUCCUCUUCGUGACGAAACAAAUAAAUGCUUGUCCAGGGCCACCAUCACAGACUGGUACAGUUAUUGCCGAGAAGUAAUUGUAAUUUAUUAUUUAGAAACUCAACAAAUAAAAGGAAAAAUAGGUGGCCCUGGAAAAAUAGUACAAAUUGACGAAAGCAAAUUCGUCCGGCGCAAAUAUAACAAAGGAAGACGAGUUGAAGAGCACUGGGUCCUAGGUAUGAUUGAAGAUGGAAGCGAGGACUUGCGCUUGGAGGUGUGCCCGGACAACGUGCGGUCUGCAGAGGUCCUGGUGCCCCUGAUAAAAAAGCACGUGGAAGUGGGCACCACCAAUCCACACAGAUUGCUGGCGUGCUUACGAUAGUCUGGCAGAGCACGGGUAUCACCAUAAAAAGGUCAAUCAUAGUGACCCGGAUAAUCCAUUCGUUGCAGCAGAUGGGACUCACACUCAGCGUAUUGAGUCCCAAUGGCGUGUAGUGAAAAGAUUUUUUUAAAAAGACUAUUAUAACCAUCCACAAAACUUUGGCGAUGUGAUUGUGGAGUAUUUGUGGAGAAGAAAUGUUAUGAAAAAUUAAAAAGAUCCGUUUAUGCAAUUAAUUGAGGCAAUUAAUUAUAUAUACAAACCUUAA